UACGAAGGGAGCUAGCGUUGUUCGGAAUCACUGGGCGUAAAGCGCACGUAGGCGGCUGUGUCAGUCAGGGGUGAAAUCCCGGAGCUCAACUUCGGAACCGCCUCUGAUACAGCACGUCUUGAGUCCGAUAGAGGUGGGUGGAAUUCCUAGUGUAGAGGUGAAAUUCGUAGAUAUUAGGAAGAACACCGGUGGCGAAGGCGGCCCACUGGAUCGGUACUGACGCUGAGGUGCGAAAGCGUGGGGAGCAAACAGG
Molecule: ribosomal RNA, 253 nt
Filed under: uncultured bacterium
Lineage: Bacteria
Description: partial 16S ribosomal RNA
Rfam family: Bacterial small subunit ribosomal RNA
Source: RNAcentral